This 745-nucleotide ribosomal RNA is filed under the name uncultured bacterium. RNAcentral's name for it is "bacterial SSU rRNA". It matches the Rfam family "Bacterial small subunit ribosomal RNA", at positions 45 to 801 of the family's 1533-position model. The record is from RNAcentral.
UGCCUCAGACAUGCAGAGUCGAACGAUUAAACUUUCCUUCGGGAAAGAUAUAAAGUGGCGUACGGGUGAGUAACACGUAAGUAAUCUACCUUUGGGUGGGGGGUAACUCAGGGAAACUUGAGCUAAUACCGCAUAAUGCAGCGGCAUCAUAUGAUGACGGUUGUUAAAGCAUUUAUGUGCCUAAAGAGGAGCUUGCGGCAGAUUAGCUAGUUGGUAAGGUAAUGGCUUACCAAGGCAACGAUCUGUAGCCGACCUGAGAGGGUGGUCGGUCACACUGACACUGAAUAACGGGUCAGACUCCUACGGGAGGCAGCAGUCGGGAAUUUUGGGCAAUGGGCGAAAGCCUGACCCAGCAACGCCGCGUGAAGGAUGAAGUCUUUCGGGAUGUAAACUUCGGAAAUAUAGGAAGAAUAAAUGACGGUACUAUAUCUAAGGUCCGGCUAACUACGUGCCAGCAGCCGCGGUAAUACGUAGGGACCAAGCGUUGUUCGGAUUUACUGGGCGUAAAGGGUGCGUAGGCGGCGUGACAAGUCACUUGUGAAAUCUCCGGGCUUAACUCGGAACUGCCAAGUGAUACUGUCGUGCUAGAGUACAGAAAGGGUAACUGGAAUUCUUGGUGUAGCGGUGAAAUGCGUAGAUAUCAAGAGGAACACCUGAGGCGAAGGCGAGUUACUAGGCUGAUACUGACGCUGAGGCACGAAAGCUAGGGGAGCGAACGGGAUUAGAUACCCCGGUAGUCCUACCC